CCGUGUGCCACAACUACUGACCCUGCACUCUGGAGCCCGCGAGCCACAACUCCUGAGCCCGUGUGCCACAACUACUGACCCUGCACUCUAGAGCCCGCGAGCCACAACUACUGAAGCCCCCGUGCCUAGAGCCCGUGCUCUGCAACAAGAGAAGCCACUGCAAUGAGAAGCCCGUGCACCACAACAAAGAGUAGCCCCUACUCGCCACAACUAGAGAAAGCCCGCGCGCAGCAACAAAGACCCAACACAGCCAAAAAUAAUAAAAAUAAAUAAAUAAAAUAAAGGAAACUUAGAUUUUAAAAUAAUAAUAAAAUAAAAAUGGACAAGGAAAGCAGAACGAGUGGCUCAGAGAGAAGUAAGAAUGGGAGAAGGGGCAGGAGAGAUUUGAAGCAGGAGAGAUACUCUGCCCACCAUUGCUGGCGUCGAAGAUGGAGGAGCGGAACCAUGACCCAAACAAUGCAGACAGCUUCCAGAAGCUGGGAAGGACCCUCAGCUGACAGCCAUCAAGGAAAUGGGGACCUGAAAGGAACUAAAUUCUACCAACAGCCUGAGAUAGUGAGGAAAUGGAUUCUCCCCUAGAGCUCCCAGGACGGACACAGCCGACCCCGUGAUUUUAGUCCAGUGAGAUCUGAACCCGGCUUCCAACAAACAGAACUGUAAGGUAACAAGUUUGUGUAUUUUAAACUGCUAAGUUUGUGCUAAUGUGUUACAAAAGAAGUAGAAACUGUAGAUUAUGGAUGUUUCAAUACGAUGAGCAAAAAAUGGGUGAUUUGCUCAAAGACAUCUGCAUAAUUGGCAAUCUGUCUAACAGAGCCAAACUCCUACAUCAUAACAUAAAGAAAAUUAAUUUUACAUGAAUUAUAGAGCUAAGUGUAAAAAUAAAGGCAUGAGAAAAUAUAGACAAUAAAGUGUCCAAAAAUAUAGGAAAAUAUUUUACCCAAAGAGUAAAAGAGGCUUUCUUAAGGAAAACAGAAACCUAGAAAUUAUAAAGGAAAAUACUUAAGGAUUUAGCAACCCAAAAAAGUGAAAUUUCCGAAUGACAAAAGAUACUUCAAGAAAGUUCAGAGAAAAUAUGAUUGAAAGGAAAUACGUGCAACAUUUAAGUCAGGUGGAAUGCCAGCAAGUCAGGACAAACCAAUAAAAAAGUCUUAUGCUCAACCCCAAGCACUAGAAAUAAAUGCAAAAUAAGAUGGUCACCUUCUCUCAGAGAAAUGCAAAAUAAUGAAAAAUAAUAUUCUAUCCAUCAUGUUGAGUAAAAGGUAAAAAAUUCUGAUACUGGCAAGGAAGGGGGGGGAGGGACCACCACUUUCACGCAUUUACUGAUGGAAGUAUAAAUUGCUACAGCCUUUUAGGAAAACAACCUGGUGGUAUCUUUAAAAUUUUAAAUAUGUAUACCUUACAUGUAGGUAUCUAUCCUCUAGAAAUAAAUGUAUCUGAAUUCUAAGGAUAUACAUACAGGGAUGUUUUCUGCUUUGGAAGACCUGAAAAUAACCAUCCAUAACACAUAAAUAUUAAUAAAUUGUGAAACUUCCUUAUUGUGAAGAAUUAAGUAGUUUUUACAAAUGAGACGUACCUACCUGUGUGUCCUGUAGAGACCUAUAAUAUUCCAUAAUGUCCAAGAUAAUAAAAGUGGAGGUGGGGGGAAGGGUUGGAGGAAGGGAAACACAUAGAACAAUGUAUUACAGUUUAAUCCCAUUCUUUUACCUUUUUCGGAGGUGUAGGGGAGGAAGACUUUUUCUUCUCUUCUGGGUUCUUUAGCUGGUUGGAUCGUUAAACUGACACAAGGCAGAUUAACAGGAGAAAAACAGAUUUCAUUUCAUAUACAUGGGAACUCAUACAAAAAUACGAGUCUCAAAUAUGAAAACCAUUGUUCUAUGUGUCAUCGUCCCAGAUCACAAAGUCGUUUGGGAAGGAUUAUGGUUUUUCCAUUGUUCUUUUGCUUCAGAAGCUAAGGAUCCUUCCCUCCCGCCAUCUGAUUGACACAGAGGGAGACUUGGAGUCCUCGGCUGCACACCUGGACCCUCACUCCAGCUGUGCUCCGGGACUCAAAUCCAGGCCCUUUUACACCAGACCUACUCAACAAUCAAACCACGUGGUUAGUGUUCAUGACCCUUCCUGCCUUGAGUCCCAAGACAUCAGAGGACAACUCCUAACAGAUCCACUGAUGACCAAUGACUUUUGCAAAGCUCUGCCUCUGUCUUUCAGUCUCCAAAGAGAGCCUCUUCAGGUUGGUGAUUAAUCAGACCUGAAGUUGUUUUAUAGAGAUGGCACUGUGCAUGUGCAAGAUGGGAACCCAUGUCUCCAGGAUGAGCCCAGAACCAAAUAUCUUCAGUCUAUGGAACUCAAAGAAUAGAAAUGUUGCCACCAGAGGGCUUUAAGAAGGGAGAGGUCCUAAAAUAAGGAAAAUCUGGCUUCCAGCAGCCUAAGCACCUUGAUUAUCAUAUAUGUACUGAUUUGAGGCUAUCCAAUCAACUUCUGCCAAGUUUGAAAUUCCCCUAACCCCCUAACCCGGGAUCAAGGAGACAGAUUUGAGCCCUGCCUUCUAUCUGCUUGCCGGUCAACCUCACAAUAAAGUUCUUUCUUUUUCAAAAGCCAGUGCCACGGAAUUGACUUCUAUGCAUGUCUGGCAGCAAGCCCUUGCUUGGUAACACUGU
Long non-coding RNA from Balaenoptera acutorostrata (minke whale), 2654 nucleotides. RefSeq lists it as uncharacterized. Lineage: Eukaryota; Metazoa; Chordata; Mammalia; Artiodactyla; Balaenopteridae. The record is from RefSeq and is a predicted model, not a curated record. The transcript has 3 exons.